RNAcentral lists this long non-coding RNA (1907 nucleotides) under Marmota monax (woodchuck). Lineage: Eukaryota; Metazoa; Chordata; Mammalia; Rodentia; Sciuridae. The record is from RNAcentral.
GAUCAGACCAGCGGCGGGAAAGCGAAGUUUCUCCUGCCAUCCGGACCAACCGGGAUCGCGAUUUCCCAGGAACAGCCCGACGGUCGGGCCAGUGGAGGCCUGAGCAGGCAGAAAGGGAGGAUGGUAGCUCAACUUCUUUACAGAAGCGGCAGAGAGGCCAACAAGGUUGUGAGCAACGGAGUUCACGUCUUUGCCGUGCUGCCCUGAAACUCUGGGCCUUCCUGCCCUCUGCUGUCACUUGGUGCGCUCACCAUCCUCGGCGAAGUUACUGCCCGCGGGCGCACCGGCCUGCAAACGGAGGGAGGUGCGGGCGGGAGCAGAGGCCGCCCUCCCUGGAUCUCUCUCCUGCCUGUCACAUCUGCAUUUAUUUAAAGCUCGGCUGGUGGUCCUCGCUCUCUGGAAUGCCAGUUGCGGGCCUGGCCUCCUACGACAUUCGCAUUGAUUAGUGAGCCGUUAUGGAAGUAGUGGGGGCAUAGAGGAGGCCGGAGAUUCACAAUAUUCUACCUGCCCCCAUCGCUCCAGCUAGCCUAGAGCCCAGCGAUUCACACUCACCAGAUGGCUGAGUGCGUCCAGAGACCCGAACUUCGAGAACAUUCCAUGUGCAUGGGAACUGACCGUUGUCACUUAAUACGUUGUGGUCAGGUGUGCCCAGACAUCGCAGAAUCUCUGCCGGCUCCCGCGCCGAAUCACGCAGAAGUGAACAAGUGCUGUCACCCCAGGUCCUAAAGUGUAUAUGCAGCUUUCUCCGUAUGAAACUCUUAAGAAAGAGUUUCCUGUGCAAAUCCAGAAAAAAAAAUUGAAAUUGACAUGCCUCGCUUAAAAUACUGCACAUAAAGCGUAAAAAAGACACCGGUAACUUUCAUGGGAGACUCCACCCCAAGCGAUAGAAGCCGGGUGCAAAUUCAUCCUUGAAAAACAAGUUGGGUUCCAGCUUACUGUGAAUCUCUUGAGGGUGGUUGGGAGCAAAUGACAGGGGAGACUUUGGAUUCUCUGAGUCCCCCCCAAAUCCAGUCUGAUUUUGCAUUUGCUUUUGGAUUUGAUAUAAUUAAGGGUGAAAAUAAGGCCCUUCUGUUUUUCUAUUACCCUUUGCUUUUCUGCAAAGCUUUUACCCCAGAGAAAAGUUGUUUUAGUAAUCUGGGAAAGAGAAACCAUGUGCUGAGUCAGCAAAAACGCGGCACUAGGCCAGUUCAGUUCAAUAAUACCGGUAUGUGUAAUGUACACACUCUAUACGCCUUUGUGGAAAUAAUGAAAAAUAUAUUGGAAUUUUCAUGGCAUUAAAAAAUACCCACAAAACCUGUUGGCAGUUGAGAGGCCAGGUUGAGUUAAGUGGUGUGUCUUCUAAUAUACGGAAAUACAUUCUGGACAUCUUUCCUAACAAGGGUUAGAUCUCACAACACUUAACAUGGGAGCAAAUGAGAAAUACAAUUCUCAAAACAAAAUGUUUUUUUCAAAUGGUCGUGUUGCAGAAAGUUAAAACAAUCCUUUCUGCCUAAGGUCUUGUGACAUGCAUCCAAAGUGACUCCAGUGAAUUGAAUCUUAGGUUUUUGUUUUGCACCAAUAAGACCAUUUCUUCAAAAAUGCAUCUUUAAAAGGUCCUAAAAGUCUCCUUGCAAAUCCCAUUAGAACGUUGAUAACCUGUUGAUCUGCAUUCACAUUUGUGUUUAAGGAAUAAAUGUACUUACGAAGAAGUCAUUGUUAAGCAGCUAUUUUUCAAAUGAUUGCUUAUAACUGUCCAAGUGUUAACCUGAAUUUGCAAAAUGUGAGCAUUUCAAUUAUUAAACAACAUUCCAAAUUGUAUUUUCAGUGACAGUCAGUCAGUAUUUCUGGGGAUACUUCUUCAUGAUGCUUGUAAUUUUUUUAGUUGCAAAAAGUAUGGCUUUUUUUAAAAAAAACUAGCAUGUUGAGUA